AGAUGCUGGAUGCCAGACAUCUUGCAAUAGGAAUAGGAGAGAAGGAGGGCAAAAAAAAAAAAAGAAAAAAAAAUAGUGGUUAAAUGGAAGGACAGAAUGGGAAAAAAUAAAACCAUAUUCCUAGCCAUCCAGACAGCAUUUUUCUCUGACAUGUUUGUAAUACGGAUCUCAGCCAAGAAAAGUCCAUGAUGAGAAGCCAGGUGGACCCUAAUGAUGCCAGCUUUGUGGGCUAGGGGAGAGAAUAACAAGGAAAGAUUGGUGACCUUCAACCAGUCUGAAACCAGGAGUGAGUUGAAAUUCAUUUCUUCAAGCAAAGUUAUUUAUUGAGCACCUGCUAUGUGCCCUUAUAGAUCUAGCUGCUCCUCUUCAGAUGUCUUUGUCUUAUGUCCAUUAUUCCAGAGAUGUAUGAUCUGAUGUUACAAUUAUAAGAAGGAAUGGGAAGGUGAUACUGAGCUCCAGUGAUGUGCCCAACCUGGGCCAAGUGCCUUACCAACUGGAUCAGUUAACCCUUGUUAACAACCCAGGAGUAAAGAACACCCAUAUGUUCAGGAGAAAUUUCAAGGUCGCAGAGUCUAUAAGUGAAGAGAUUGCCCUGUGGUCAUUUAGCUUAGGGCUUCUUAAACUUGGCUGCAUUUUCUGGGCUUUUUUUUUUUAACAAUGUAUAUUCCUACAUCCCAGGUCCAUCCUAGUCUGGUAGCCUGAAUCUAUAGGUAAGCCUGGGCUUCUAUACAGUUAAAACAAGAAAACAAACAACAGAGGGCAGAAAACCUCCUUAAUGAUUCUUAAAUCAGCCGAGUUUGGAAACUUGAUUUAGUUCAGCUUUUAUUUUG
Molecule: long non-coding RNA, 830 nt
Organism: Manis pentadactyla (Chinese pangolin)
Lineage: Eukaryota; Metazoa; Chordata; Mammalia; Pholidota; Manidae
Exons: 3
Source: RefSeq, a predicted model, not a curated record